Non-coding RNA from Punica granatum (pomegranate), 673 nucleotides. The record is from RefSeq and is a predicted model, not a curated record. Lineage: Eukaryota; Viridiplantae; Streptophyta; Magnoliopsida; Myrtales; Lythraceae.
UCGAAUAUAUAGAGGCAUCUCCAUAGAAAUCAAGAGAUCAGAAACCAUUCAAGAACCAAAAAUCAUAAUCAAAACAUAUGGUGAUCCGCUUCAAGCUUCUUCCUAUUAUCUUCAUUUUUUGUGUUCUAUUGGCCUCAGACUAUCAGUUCUCUCUGCAAUGCAUGGCCGCCCGGACACUUAAGAACCAUCUGCCUGAUGAUCACAGCAGUAAAGGUCAGGUAGGGGGAAGCCACCCCAGAAGUGAUGGCUCCAAGGGCCAAAGUUCGCCUUCCCCACCUUCAAAAGGUACGCUAGGGAGAAGCCCCUCCCAAGCUGCUUGUGGGAGAACUUCCCGGGGUUAUGUUCCAUGCACAUUGGACCCCAAUCACGUACGCAAUUACAGACCCGUAAAGUGUGCUACGUUCAACCGUGAUUGUCACUGAAAAAUAAAAGCGGAAAACAACGACAAUAAGAGGAUUACAAAUUUCUAGCAAUUUCACUUUGGCGUCCAAUUAUAUCUAACUAUGUACUUUGGUGACUCAUUUCGUGUAUGGAUGUGAAUAUCCAUGAUAUUUGAGACGGAUGCAUUGAAAUCGACAGUCUUCACAUGAAUUAGCUGUAAUGAAGUUGUGAAGUUUGAACUAUUGGAUCCCAAAGUAUACAAGGAGUAAUGUUCAUAUUGUUGCGUCGGCAA